Molecule: ribosomal RNA, 491 nt
Filed under: uncultured bacterium
Lineage: Bacteria
Description: bacterial SSU rRNA
Rfam family: Bacterial small subunit ribosomal RNA
Source: RNAcentral
AACGAACGCUGGCGGCGUGCCUAACACAUGCAAGUCGAACGAGAAAGGUCGCAAGACUGAGUACAGUGGCGCACGGGUGAGUAAUACAUAGGAAUCUUCCCUUUAGUGAAGAAUACCCUGGAGAAAUCCAGGCUAAUACUGCAUAAGCCCAGAAAUGGGGAAAGGUGGCCUCAAGCUACCGCUGAAGGAUGAGCCUGUGUCCUAUUAGUUAGUUGGCAGGGUAAUGGCCUACCAAGACAAAGAUGGGUAUCCGGCCUGAGAGGGUGUACGGACACACUGGAACUGAAACAGGUCCAGACUCCUACGGGAGGCAGCAGUGGGAAUAUUGCACAAUGGGCGCAAGCCUGAUGCAGCGACGCCGCGUGGAGGAUGACGGUCUUCGGAUUGUAAACUCCUGUUAAGUGGGAAGAAGACCAGUAUCUAAUACAUGCUGGGGAUGACGGUACCACUAGAGAAAGCACCGGCAAACUUCGUGCCAGCAGCCGCGGUAA